UAUGUUUACAAGUCUUCACCACCUCCUCCGUAUGUUUAUAGUUCUCCUCCACCUCCACCAUAUGUUUACAAGUCUCCACCACCACCUCCUUAUGUCUAUAGCUCUCCACCGCCUCCUCCAUAUGUUUACAAGUCGCCACCUCCUCCUCCUUAUGUUUAUAGUUCUCCACCGCCUCCUCCAUAUGUUUACAAGUCUUCACCACCUCCUCCGUAUGUUUAUAGUUCUCCUCCACCUCCACCAUAUGUUUACAAGUCUCCACCACCACCUCCUUAUGUCUAUAGCUCUCCACCGCCUCCUCCAUAUGUUUACAAGUCGCCACCACCUCCUCCUUACAUUUAUAGCUCUCCACCGCCUCCUCCAUAUGUUUACAAGUAUCCCCCUCCUCCUCCAUAUGUCUACAGCUCUCCACCGCCUCCUCCAUAUGUUUACAAGUCUCCCCCUCCUCCUCCAUACGUCUACAAAUCUCCACCACCACCUCCGUAUGUGUACAAGUCGCCACCACCUCCUCCUUACGUCUACAACUCUCCACCACCACCUCCGUAUGUCUACAAGUCGCCACCACCUCCUCCUUACAUCUACAACUCUCCACCACCACCUCCGCAUGUCUACAAGUCGCCACCAUCUCCUUCUUACAUCUACAGCUCUCCACCACCACCUCCCUAUGUCUACAAGUCGCCACCACCUCCUCCUUACGUUUACAAGUCUUCACCGUCACCUCCAAGCUAUAGCUAUAGCUCUCCCCCUCCUCCAAUAUACUAACCAAACAUAUACAUGAUGAACCGGAU
Molecule: long non-coding RNA, 785 nt
Filed under: Arabidopsis lyrata
Lineage: Eukaryota; Viridiplantae; Streptophyta; Magnoliopsida; Brassicales; Brassicaceae
Description: long non-coding RNA (ALYR_LNC003079)
Source: RNAcentral